Non-coding RNA from Pangasianodon gigas (Mekong giant catfish), 73 nucleotides. NCBI's taxonomy places the organism in Eukaryota, Metazoa, Chordata, Actinopteri, Siluriformes, Pangasiidae. The record is from the annotation of a GenBank genome assembly.
UGCGGUUGAUACAAAAACCACUUUCCCAAGCUCCUAUCGCUGUGAAACUGCCAAAAUAGCGUUUUCAGAGCCU